RNAcentral lists this ribosomal RNA (738 nucleotides) under eukaryote SCGC AAA074-B03. RNAcentral's name for it is "bacterial SSU rRNA". It matches the Rfam family "Bacterial small subunit ribosomal RNA", at positions 89 to 858 of the family's 1533-position model. The record is from RNAcentral.
UUUUUAGUGGCGAACGGGUGCGUAACACGUAAGAAUCUGCCUUUAGGAAGGGGAUAACAUUUAGAAAUAUUUGCUAAUACCCUAUAUGCUUCACAGUGAAAGAAUUUAUUCGCCUAAAGAGGAGCUUGCGUCUGAUUAGCUAGUUGGUAGGGUAAAGGCCUACCAAGGCGACGAUCAGUAGUUGGUCUGAGAGGACGGCCAGCCACAUUGGAACUGAGACACGGUCCAGACUCUUACGGGAGGCAGCAGUGAGGAAUUUUCUGCAAUGGGCGAAAGCCUGACAGAGCAAUACCGCGUGAGGGAUGACUGCCUACGGGUUGUAAACCUCUUUUCUCAAGGAGGAAGAUCUGACGUUACUUGAGGAAUAAGCAUCGGCUAACCCUGUGCCAGCAGCCGCGGUAAUACAGGGGAUGCAAGUGUUAUCCGGAAUUAUUGGGCGUAAAGCGUCUGCAGGUUGAUCUAUAAGUCUUUUGUCAAAUCUUUGGGCUUAACCCAAAAACAGCAAAAGAAACUAUUUAUCUUGAGUAUGGUAGAGGUAAGGGGAAUUUCCAGUGGAGCGGUGAAAUGCGUAGAUAUUGGAAAGAACACCAACAGCGAAGGCACCUUACUGGGCCAUUACUGACACUCAGAGACGAAAGCUAGGGUAGCAAACGGGAUUAGAUACCCCGGUAGUCCUAGCUGUAAACGAUGGAUACUAGGUGUUGCGUACUUUAUAGUAUGCAGUGUCGUAGCUAACGC